CCUACGGGAGGCAGCAGUGAGGAAUAUUGGUCAAUGGACGAGAGUCUGAACCAGCCAAGUAGCGUGAAGGAUGACUGCCCUAUGGGUUGUAAACUUCUUUUAUAUGGGAAUAAAAUGUUCCACGUGUGGGAUUUUGUAUGUACCAUAUGAAUAAGGAUCGGCUAACUCCGUGCCAGCAGCCGCGGUAAUAAGGAGGAUCCGAGCGUUAUCAGGAUUUAUUGGGUUUAAAGGGAGCGUAGGUGGAUUGUUAAGUCAGUUGUGAAAGUUUGCGGCUCAACCGUAAAAUUGCAGUUGAAACUGGCAGUCUUGAGUACAGUAGAGGUGGGCGGAAUUCGUGGUGUAGCGGUGAAAUGCUUAGAUAUCACGAAGAACUCCGAUUGCGAAGGCAGUUCACUGGACUGCAACUGACACUGAGGCUCGAAAGUGUGGGUAUCAAACAGGAUUAGAUACCCGGGUAGUC
RNAcentral lists this ribosomal RNA (460 nucleotides) under uncultured bacterium. RNAcentral's name for it is "partial 16S ribosomal RNA". It matches the Rfam family "Bacterial small subunit ribosomal RNA", at positions 338 to 795 of the family's 1533-position model. The record is from RNAcentral.